AAGAUAAUAUUUAUUUUUAUUAUUUAUAGAAAUAUAUGUUUAUUUGAGUAGUGAUUUGAAUAUAAAAUUUAAAAUUAUAGUUUAUUUGUAUUGUUAAAGAUUAAUAUUAGAUUUAUUUUUAUUAUAAGAAUAAUUUAAUUUUAGUACCUUGUGUAUCAGGGUUUAAUAAAAUAAUUAUAUAUAUUUAUUUCUCGAAUUUUAAAGAGUUAAUAAUUUAUAUAUUUAAUUGUUGAAUAAAUUUUUAUAAUAAAUUAUUUGUAGUGAAAUGUUAUUCGUUUUUUUAUAUAUCUAGUUUUUUAAGAAAUAAAUUUAAUUUAUUUAUUUAAAUUUAUAUAUUUUUAUUUUUUAAUUUUAUAAUUUAAUUUAAAAAUAUCAUAAGGGAUGAGCUUUAAGAUAAAUAUUUAUAAAUGAAUAGAAAUUGAAAAUUUAUUAGAAUUGUUAUUAUUUAUUUUAUUAUGUUAUAAUUAUUUUUUUUUAUUAAAUAAGAUUUUUUUUUAUUUUGAUUAUUUUAUUAAAAUAUGAAGUAUAUUUGGAUAUUUUAUGAAAUUAUUUUAAAAUUAGUAUUGUUUUAGUUUUAUAUAGGAUAUAUUGUUAGUUUAAAUUAAGGAAUUCGGCAAAUAUAUUUUUCGCCUGUUUAAUAAAAACAUGUCUUUUUGAUUAUAAUUUGAGGUCUAAUCUGCCCAAUGAUAAGUUAAAUGGCCGCGGUAAUUUGACCGUGCAAAGGUAGCAUAAUCAUUAGUUUUUUAAUUGAAAGCUGGAAUGAACGAUUGGACGAGGGAAUAACUGUCUUUAUUUAAAUAGCUAGAAUUUUAUUUUUUAGUAAAAAAGCUUAAAUUUUUUUAAUAGACGAGAAGACCCUAUAGAGUUUUAUAUUUUUUAUUAUAUUUAUUUAGAGGGAUAUUAUUAUAAGUAUGUAUGUUAUAUUUUGUUGGGGCGAUAGGAAAAUUAGAUAAACUUUUUUUAUAUGAAUUCAUUAAUUUAUGAUUUAUUGAUCCAUAUUUUAUGAUUAUAAGAUUAAAUUACCUUAGGGAUAACAGCGUAAUUUUUUUUGAGAGUUCAAAUCGAAAGAAGAGUUUGCGACCUCGAUGUUGGAUUAAAAUUAAUUUUUGGUGUAGGGGCUAAAAGAUUAGGUCUGUUCGACCUUUAAAAUUUUACAUGAUCUGAGUUUAAACCGGCGUGAGCCAGGUUGGUUUCUAUCUUUAAUAAAUUUAGAUAUUUUAGUACGAAAGGAUCAAGUAUUUAUAAUAAUUAUUUUAUAUUGAAUAAAAUU
Molecule: ribosomal RNA, 1270 nt
Filed under: Apogonia cf. basalis
Lineage: Eukaryota; Metazoa; Arthropoda; Insecta; Coleoptera; Scarabaeidae
Description: 16S ribosomal RNA
Rfam family: Archaeal large subunit ribosomal RNA (bases 1030-1188)
Source: RNAcentral